RNAcentral lists this unclassified non-coding RNA (339 nucleotides) under soil metagenome. Its description in RNAcentral is "partial contains 5.8S ribosomal RNA, internal transcribed spacer 2, and large subunit ribosomal RNA". The stretch from base 1 to 120 matches the Rfam family "5.8S ribosomal RNA", at positions 35 to 154 of the family's 154-position model. The record is from RNAcentral.
GAUGAAGAACGUAGCGAAAUGCGAUAAGUAAUGUGAAUUGCAGAAUUCCGUGAAUCAUCGAAUCUUUGAACGCACAUUGCGCCCCCUGGCAUUCCGGGGGGCAUGCCUGUCCGAGCGUCAUUUCUGCCCUCCAGCCCGGCUGGGUGUUGGGCGCUGUCCCCCCGGGGACACGCCCCAAAGGCAGUGGCGGCACCGCGUCCGGUCCUCGAGCGUAUGGGGCUUCGUCACCCGCUCUUGUAGGCCCGGCCGGCGCUUGCCGACACAUCAAUCUUUUUUCCAGGUUGACCUCGGAUCAGGUAGGGAUACCCGCUGAACUUAAGCAUAUCAAUAAGCGGAGGA